Aedes aegypti (yellow fever mosquito) is the source of this 1686-nucleotide long non-coding RNA. RefSeq lists it as uncharacterized. NCBI's taxonomy places the organism in Eukaryota, Metazoa, Arthropoda, Insecta, Diptera, Culicidae. The transcript is spliced from 3 exons. The record is from RefSeq and is a predicted model, not a curated record.
CGGUACCACUAGGCUAAGAAAGGCCCAAUCCAGGCUGCCCGAAGUUGCGGAAAAAUAUUGCACACAGAGGGUCGCGUGUUGAUUGAACCGCUUCCUCCACAGUUAGGUCGCCCAAGGCACCCUAAACUUCCGCCGGAACUCCGUCCUUCGUCUCCCCCUCUUUCACAUCUGUGAUACCGCAAGCAAUGUCCUAGCGUACGGGUGGACUGGGGGUGCACUGCGGAUACUUAGUGCACUUUCAGGUGCACGUCUCCCAAUGUACACCUUCGGCGAUGGAGGUUCGAUGGUUUGGUGAGGGGUUCGUGAAAUUCUAUCUACUCAUACAUAUACUGGGCCACAUGCAGUGCAACGCAAUACAAACCGAGCUAGUGGAGAGGCUAGCUUGUCUACUACGGGAGUUGUAUUCUGCUACACUGUAGCUGUGUCGUCGGUGACGAAAAUUGAUGGCGCCUCGUGUCGGUUCCGCAGCGCUGAGUAGCUUAGCUGUGAUUUGGCGAAUUGGUAUAGUGGCUUCUUGAUUCUAAGAAAUCUCUUAGAAUGCAUCCCAACUUUCGCAGAGAACGUGCUUCUAUGCUUAGUUAGAGUACUUCCAAAGCAAUCAGUUUACCAAUUCUUCUUCGUCUUUCUGGCGUAAAGUUACAACGAUAGUCAUUGCCUAAGGGCUUUCUUUGGCAAUGACUAUUAUUCCGAUUGAGUGUCUAAAAUAUAGGACUUUCGAGAUGAGAAAAGAGACCGAAUAGUAUUAAACAAAAAAAACAAAGAGGAGAUCAAACAAGAAACAAUGAUACUCCGACCACAUAUUUCUCUAAGGGUACUUUGAGGAUUCUAUUAGUAGCUUUCCUCAGGUAUUACGAAAGGAAUUUGUUCAGGAGUUCAUCCAGCAAUUUUUUCCCAGAAUUACCUUGGACUUCCGCUGUGGGGAGAUCGCAGCAAGCCGUGCGCGCGAACAGACGUGUUUCACACCAACUGUCACGAUUUUUCUCCUUUCCGCGUUUAAUUUCAAUUCGACUGAUGAGUUUGCAAAUCAGCUGGUACAAAAACAAAUUUUCAAUUGAUUUGACUAAUACUUUUACAAUUAUAACCAACGCUGCACCAGUACUAUCUAGCUUUUUACGCUAACUUUGCUAUAAACUUUGAAUCACCCCUUUUUGAAGUCUCUUGUCUACACCAUAAUAUUUUUAUGGUUUAAUCUAAGCAAACUUUGCGUUGUUGAAAAUUUUUCAUAAUGAUGCAAAUGAACGUCAAAAAUUGAUCUUUUAUUUAUUCAAGUAACAAGAAUCUGAAAAUUUUAUUACGGAUUUUCUGGGCUUAAAGUGUAUUAAUGCUACUUUUGCCAUUUUAGGUUCAUGAUAAGCAGUCAUCAAAGGGACCGGUGCCUGGUAAUUCUUGAUGAGUUAUUUUGAGGACUUACGUGAAUGAGUGUUACGAACUUUUCAAUGAAUUUGGUGCCGAACGAUUUGUUCCAGGGACAAAUAAUCACGCCUUGGACGACCUUGAAAUGAAUUUCUGGAGUUUGGGAGAUUUUCUCGCUUGAAGAACAGUUUAAAUCAAGGCCUGAGUGGUUACUGACCAUUAUUGAAUACGGAGGAGUUUAAUUUUUUUUAUCACACCUCUUACUUGGAAAAUUGUGCCUAUUCUGCGCGGCGUGUGAGUCGAUACGACUCGCUCUCACCGCGAGUAAUGUGA